This 272-nucleotide unclassified non-coding RNA is filed under the name Pichia terricola. RNAcentral describes it as "sequence contains ITS1, 5.8S rRNA gene, ITS2". The stretch from base 50 to 202 matches the Rfam family "5.8S ribosomal RNA". From Rfam's summary of the family: 5.8S ribosomal RNA (5.8S rRNA) is a component of the large subunit of the eukaryotic ribosome. It is transcribed by RNA polymerase I as part of the 45S precursor that also contains 18S and 28S rRNA. Lineage: Eukaryota; Fungi; Ascomycota; Pichiomycetes; Pichiales; Pichiaceae. The record is from RNAcentral.
GAACAAACCCCUAAACAUGAAUAACCCAGUCAAGAAUCCAUAAGAAUAAAACUUUCAACAACGGAUCUCUUGGUUCUCGCAUCGAUGAAGAGCGCAGCGAAAUGCGAUACCUAGUGUGAAUUGCAGCCAUCGUGAAUCAUCGAGUUCUUGAACGCACAUUGCGCCCCCUGGAAUUCCGGGGGGCAUUCCUGUUUGACCGUCGUUUCUAUCUCACGCAAGUGGACGCUGGCCCGGCCUUGGCCCCGCCGAAAAAAAACCGGGGGCGAAGGCAA